Hevea brasiliensis (rubber tree) is the source of this 775-nucleotide long non-coding RNA. RefSeq lists it as uncharacterized. The record is from RefSeq and is a predicted model, not a curated record. Lineage: Eukaryota; Viridiplantae; Streptophyta; Magnoliopsida; Malpighiales; Euphorbiaceae. The transcript is spliced from 2 exons.
GCUUUUAAGAGUGCCAUUUCCUGCAAACUGUCAAGUAAGCUCAUGCUUAAAUUUGAAUCUUAUACAAGUUUAGAAUGCCAUAUAGUAGAAACAUAGUUAAACUUAUUGAAGAAGUAUUUACUUCUUCUUUUUCUUCUUGCCUUUGGGUACUGUUAAAUUUAAUGUUAUACAAGUUUAGGAUGCCAUAUGGUAGAAACAUGGUUAAACUCAUUGAUAUUUAAAGUAAUUUUCUUUUGGGGUGCCAUUCUCUUAUAGUUACAGUUUGAUAGUUAAUUAGUUAACUUGAUUCUCAGUUUAUGCAGGCAUCAUAGUCAGAUAAUUAAUCCAUGGGAAUACCAUUAUAACAUGUAUGAAAGAUAGAAACUUCCAUGUUGAAAAUCCUGAGCGGCAGCAUGUUGCGUGAAUGUGUUUGAGAUCUGAAACUGAAAGUAACAAGUUUCAUGCUAAAAUAGUGGAGGGUAGGAUUAUCUUCAAAUUCUUCCUACUAGGAUACUAGGAUUUUUGAACGAAGUGAUAUCGGGUGCAAGCCAAAAGUUUUACUGUCAUAGCUGGGUUCUAAAGCUUGCCCCAUAAAAAAAGGUUCCUGCUGAUCAUUCUAAUUUUGGGUCCCAAAUUCAGUUGACAACUAGUGCUAUUUGUGCUUAGUCAUUAAGCUUUGAGCCGGAUGGAGCUUAUUAACUCUAUUGUUCAACCUCUUCUGGAGUUUAUGAUUCUGGAAAUAUUGUUUUGCUGGUUUGCUUAGAGGUCCCUGAUCCUGAGCAGAAUUCACAUGGUU